AAUAUUGCGCAAUGGACGGGAGUCUGACGCCGCGACGCCGCGUGAGCGAUGAAGGCCNNNGGUUCNUCAAUCUCUGUCCUUGGNGACNAAGGUCUUCGGACUUGACGGUACCCAAGAAGAAAGCACCGGCUAACUACGUGCCAGCAGCCGCGGUAAUACGUAGGGGGCGAGCGUUGUCCGGAAUUACUGGGCGUAAAGGGUGCGUAGGCGGGCCUUUAAGUCAGAUGUGAAAGGCCACGGCUUAACCGUGGGAUUGCAGUUGAAACGGGAGGGCUUGAGUGUCGGAGAGGGUAGUGGAAUUCCCAGUGUAGCGGUGAAAUGCGUAGAUAUUGGGAGGAACACCAGUGGCGAAGGCGACUACCUGGACGAUAACUGACGCUGAGGCACGAAAGCUAGGGGAGCAAAC
Molecule: ribosomal RNA, 406 nt
Filed under: uncultured bacterium
Lineage: Bacteria
Description: partial 16S ribosomal RNA
Rfam family: Bacterial small subunit ribosomal RNA
Source: RNAcentral